This is a non-coding RNA of Arachis ipaensis, 562 nucleotides long. The record is from RefSeq and is a predicted model, not a curated record. NCBI's taxonomy places the organism in Eukaryota, Viridiplantae, Streptophyta, Magnoliopsida, Fabales, Fabaceae.
UUUGGCUUUAAUUUUUCAGAAAAUACCAACCAAGUUUCUGAAUUAUUUGGAUAAAAAAUUGAUGAGGAAUGCAAUUCUAAUAGGCCCUUGUGGGGGCAAGUGGCAAGUGAGCAUAAUCAAGAGAGAAAAUGGAGUUUACAUGGACCAUGGUUGGUCAAAGUUUCUACAAGAAAACCUAGUUAAGCAUGAGGAUUUCUUGGUUUUCACAUAUGAUGGAAAUAAUAACCAUUUCAAGGUCCAAAUAUUUUGUAAAAAUGGAUGUGAAGCUCCAAAACCUAAGAAGAGUAGACCAACAACUUCAUGCCCUCAGAUUUCACCUGAAAAUGAAAGAUCAUAAAAAGAAUCGAAUAUUGGUAUUGAGUUUGUCAGAGAUUAUGUUACUUCUGCUCAAUUGCUCCUGCUGUGAAGAUCUUCACCUUUGAAAGUUUCUUAAUUAGUCUCUUAUUAGGAAAGUGUUGAGAAGUGAGUGUGCAUUCUUAUUUAAUUAAUUAGCUUUAAUCAAGUGUUUAACAUAGGAACUUUAUGUGAUGCAGUGUGUUUCCUAUGCAAGUUUUCUAAUUUU